This 473-nucleotide ribosomal RNA is filed under the name uncultured bacterium. Its description in RNAcentral is "bacterial SSU rRNA". It matches the Rfam family "Bacterial small subunit ribosomal RNA", at positions 30 to 490 of the family's 1533-position model. The record is from RNAcentral.
AUCGAACGCUGGCGGCAGGCCUAACACAUGCAAGUCGAGCGGUAACAGGAAAUAGCUUGCUAUUUUGCUGACGAGCGGCGGACGGGUGAGUAACGCGUAGGAAUUUGCCCAGUAGUGGGGGAUAGCCCGGAGAAAUUCGGAUUAAUACCGCAUACGCCCUAAGGGGGAAAGCAGGGGAUCUUCGGACCUUGCGCUAUUGGAUAAGCCUGCGUGAGAUUAGCUAGUUGGUGAGGUAAGGGCUCACCAAGGCGACGAUCUCUAGCUGGUCUGAGAGGAUGAUCAGCCACACUGGAACUGAGACACGGUCCAGACUCCUACGGGAGGCAGCAGUGGGGAAUAUUGCACAAUGGGCGAAAGCCUGAUGCAGCCAUGCCGCGUGUGUGAAGAAGGCUCUAGGGUUGUAAAGCACUUUCAGUAGGGAGGAAAAGUCGAUAGUUAAUACCUAUCGGCCGUGACGUUACCUACAGAAGAAG